CCUACGGGUGGCAGCAGUAGGGAAUCUUCCACAAUGGGCGAAAGCCUGAUGGAGCAACGCCGCGUGGGUGAAGAAGGUCUUCGGAUCGUAAAACCCUGUUGGUAGAGAAGAAAGUGCGGGAGAGUAACUGUUCACGUGUCGACGGUAUCUAACCAGAAAGCAACGGCUAACUACGUGCCAGCAGCCGCGGUAAUACGUAGGUGGCAAGCGUUAUCCGGAUUUAUUGGGCGUAACGGGAACGCAGGCGGUCUUUUAAGUCUGAUGGGAACGCCCUCGGCUUAACCGGAGUAGUGCCUUGGAAACUGGGAGCCUUGAGUGCAGAAGAGGAGAGUGGAACUCCAUUUGUAGCGGUGAAAUGCGUAGAUAUCUGG
Molecule: ribosomal RNA, 371 nt
Filed under: uncultured bacterium
Lineage: Bacteria
Description: partial 16S ribosomal RNA
Rfam family: Bacterial small subunit ribosomal RNA
Source: RNAcentral